GACUGAUUAAGUGUUCUUUUUUAAUGGGAUUAGUUGGAUAUUAUAAAAAUUUUAUGAUUUUUUGUUUAAUAAUUAGUUUUAUAUUAUACUUAUUAUAAUAUUUUUAAUAAAUUUUAUAGACAGGGAUUAGAUACCCCAUUAUAUUUUUAAAUAAUUUUUUAAUCUCAGUGAAAACUGAAAGAAAUUGGCAGUUAACUAUUUCCUUCUAGGGGAUUGUGUUUUUUAAACAGAUGGUCCACUAAAUGAUUUUUCUUUUUAUAUUGUUGGUGUAUAUCCGGUUGUGAUAAAAAAUUAAUGUUUUUUAUUAAAAAUUUGUUUUAGCCCAGGUCGAUAUGCUGCUUAUUAAAAGGUAGAUAAUGCAAUACAUUAUAAAAAAUAUAAAUUUAACUUUUUAUCAAUUGAGGACUUAGAAGUAAUAUAAAAUAGUAAUGUUUAUGUGAAGUUAAGGUUUAGUUAAGGUACACAUCGC
RNAcentral lists this ribosomal RNA (469 nucleotides) under Polystomoides sp. OV-2015. RNAcentral describes it as "partial 12S ribosomal RNA". The record is from RNAcentral. Lineage: Eukaryota; Metazoa; Platyhelminthes; Monogenea; Polystomatidea; Polystomatidae.